GGGGAUGUAUUGUUUCGACAGGAUAGCACUUUAAAAACUGCAAGCCGAAUACGAUUCUAAAGUGCGCAAACUUUGAAUCAAAACUUACGUGCAAACAGAGAUGUUGCACCUGCUUACGCUUACGCCUAAUAACGUAAUCUAAGCUGUCUUUUUAGCUUUUUCUCGGUGAGGCUUUAAAGGCACAAACUUAGCCGAGAGUAGAUAUUUGACUUCUGAUCAGGUCAAGGAUCGAAACUUUCCGAUCUUUGUUUGGAUUUCGUUUGUCAAUCGACUAAAGAUCCAAACGAGAUAUUAAAGAUUGACUAAGCUUGUAGAAGUUUUUGAAAAGUUGUUCUGGACGAGGGUCCGAAACCCUCCAUCUCCACUG
This 367-nucleotide transfer-messenger RNA is filed under the name Patescibacteria group. Its description in RNAcentral is "f GWA2-41-24 X1 Standard tmRNA". It matches the Rfam family "transfer-messenger RNA". Rfam says of the family: Bacterial tmRNA, also known as 10Sa RNA or SsrA, is named for its dual tRNA and mRNA-like properties. Its role is to liberate the mRNA from a stalled ribosome. To accomplish this part of the tmRNA is used as a reading frame that ends in a translation stop signal. RNAcentral also lists the same sequence under 1 other name. The record is from RNAcentral.